RNAcentral lists this ribosomal RNA (468 nucleotides) under uncultured bacterium. RNAcentral's name for it is "partial 16S ribosomal RNA". It matches the Rfam family "Bacterial small subunit ribosomal RNA", at positions 28 to 507 of the family's 1533-position model. The record is from RNAcentral.
GACGAACGCUGGCGGCGUGCUUAACACAUGCAAGUCGAACGGAAAGGCCCUGCUUUUGUUGUGCGUUCAUGAGGCGCGAGGGGGUGAAAAACGCGUGUAACCUGCGCUUGAUUUCGGGAUAUCAUCAUGAAACACGGGAUAAUAUCGCGUAUAAGCUUCAGCAGUGCGGUGUGGUUAGUUAAGUGUUGGCGGUUGGUCAUGGACUGGUGGGUCGUCAUGUUGUUGGUGAGGUAGUGGGUUAACAAGGCUCCGACGGGUGGCCGGCCUGCGAGGGUGACCGGCCACAUUGGGACUAGGAUGCGGCCAGGAGUCCUACGGGGGGCAGCAGUGGGGACUAGUGCGCAAUGGGCGGAAGGCGGAUGCAGCGACGCCGGGUGGGGGAUGACGGUCUUCGGGUUAUAAAGCGCUUUCGCCUGUGACGAAGCGUGAGUGACGGUAAUGGGUAAAGAAGCACCGGCUAACUACGUG